This 391-nucleotide long non-coding RNA is filed under the name Homo sapiens (human). RNAcentral describes it as "non-protein coding lnc-ALOX12-1:2". The record is from RNAcentral. Lineage: Eukaryota; Metazoa; Chordata; Mammalia; Primates; Hominidae.
AAGAAAUUUGGUGCCUCGUUGCUCACCAUCACCACUGGCCCUGGUAGCUCUGCGGAUAAACCAGCUUGGAUUUCACCCUUGAGGAUUAACAUUGCAACACUGCAUAGGCACAUAAAGCCACCUGAAAGUCAAGAUGAGGCAGGUGGGAGGCGGAAAGCCUCGGGCAAGUUUUCAAGCCCGUCCUCUGUCUGGAAACAGACUCAGAGGUGUUGCAGGGGACACGGUGGGAGUGAGACCAGCCCUUCGGUGUGCGUGGGAUCUGGGGGAGGCCUGUGACUGCCGGCUUUCCCCUGCUUCUCUGACAACCUGCAUGACUCAGCAGAGGCAGCCAUAAUCCUGGAGAGCCCCGGUUUAAGAUCUCCAGAACCUUCAGGAAGGGGAGAGUGGCUCA